UAGAAAUACCUGUGUUGAUGGCUUCUCACGUUUGUUUCAAUUAUUUUCCAUGCAGAUAAUUAAGAUAAGCCUCAGAUGUAUUUGGUUUGGAUAUAUCAUCUACAGCGUGUGAUCCGAAGGCCAUGAAAUUCCCCAAAAGGGGCAGAUACAACCAUGGUGGACAGAGGCAAGCACCUGGAAGUUGACAUUCCUUCAUCUAACAAGCAAUACGAGUAUGGUAAUUAUACAGGAUUUACGAAUGUCUUCCAUUUCCCUCCCUCAGUAUUAAAAACUGCAUUUUCCAAUGUUAAAGGUUUUUUUGUUUUAUUCACAUUGAGCUGUGAAUUUAAUCAACACAACAUUUCUAGAUGUACUACAUGUUAAGCUCUAGUACGUAUGAAGAUCUGUGUUAACGGAAGAUUCAGAAGAGCAGAAGGGUACUGUCAACCUAGUAAGGACACUGAGUUAACAUUACUACUGCAGAUGUUGAGAUGCAAGAAAGACUUCAGGUAGUCCAAUUUGGAAGCAAUACGGAAGAACAUGCUUAAUAAUGUUGGGGAAUCUUCCUGCAUAGGUUUACAAAUACGAGUUGGGAAAAAUAUGCAGGUGUUGUAGAAGAUAGGUAUCUGUGUUUCAUUAGGAGGAUUUUUCAAUAAGUUCAUUUUCUUGUAAAACUUGUGCUG
Molecule: long non-coding RNA, 662 nt
Filed under: Anser brachyrhynchus (Pink-footed goose)
Lineage: Eukaryota; Metazoa; Chordata; Aves; Anseriformes; Anatidae
Description: lncRNA (ENSABRG00000001060.1)
Source: RNAcentral